GGAGAGUUUGAUCCUGGCUCAGGACUAACGCUGGCGGUAUGCCUUAGACAUGCAAGUCGAACGAGUUUCCGGGCUUGCUCGGAAAUUAGUGGCGAACGGCUGAGUAACGCGUAGGUGACCUACCCCGUAGUGAGGAAUAACUGCCCGAAAGGGUAGCUAAUACCUCAUGUUGAGACCCUUUCAUUAGUGUCUCCAAAGCAGCAAUGCGCUAUGGGCGGGGCCUGCGUUCGAUUAGCUAGUUGGUGAGGUAAUGGCUCACCAAGGCGACGAUCGAUAGGUGGUCUGAGAGGACGAUCACCCAGACUGGGACUGAGACACGGCCCAGACUCCUACGGGAGGCAGCAGUCGGGAAUUUUGCGCAAUGGGGGAAACCCUGACGCAGCAAUACCGCGUGUGGGAUGAAGGCCUUCGGGUCGUAAACCACUUUU
This 428-nucleotide ribosomal RNA is filed under the name Acidimicrobiia bacterium. RNAcentral's name for it is "bacterial SSU rRNA". It matches the Rfam family "Bacterial small subunit ribosomal RNA", at positions 6 to 437 of the family's 1533-position model. The record is from RNAcentral. Lineage: Bacteria; Bacillati; Actinomycetota; Acidimicrobiia.